UCUUGUAUGCUGUGUAUAAGAAACUCACUUGAAACUUACCAAUAUAGGGCAGGCCAAAUUAAAAGGAUGAAAAAAGAUAUUUUACACAAACAUUAAUGCAAGGAAAGCAAGAGUGCCUGUAUGUAUAUCAGCUAAAGCAAAGAAAAUUACCAGAAACAGAGAGAUUAUAUAAUGAUCAAAGGUUUAAUCCAUGAAGAAGACAGGAAUUUUAAAAGUGUAUUCACCAAACAACAGAACUUCAAAAUAUGUGAUGUGAAAACUGCCAGAACCAAGGAGGGUGGGGCUCUGACCUGCGCUGUCUCAGGAUGUAAAGUGUAACAAGGGGCUGAGGGGGUGGGGAGGGGCAGCAUGGGGCUGUGAGGCCUGUGGAGUGCCCGCAUUCCCCAAUUCCCCCUGCAGCUGGCUCCGCAGUGGUCUGCUCCGCUUGGUUGCCGCGUGCCGAUUCGGGUUCCAGAACCAAGGCUGCGUGUUCUCCACCGCUUGUUGUGGCCAGUGUUACUGCGGUGACCCCAGAGCAGCCUUGGCUCUAUGAAGGAGCCAGGUGCUACCCCUCAGCCCUAUUUGGGGCUGGUCCUGGAGGGGCUACGCAGCCUUGUGGCAGCACUGCCUGAAAGUAGGAGACCAGAUUCGAAUCCUUAUGGUUUUCCAUGGGACUUGGUGGUAUGUGCAGCUGUUGUUGGAUUUUUUUGCUGUUCUCCUUUUUUUGUGGAGAAGUUUUAGAUCAGUUAGGAGUCGGCUUUAUGUGGGAAGAGAAACGAAACUUGCUGCAACGCUUUCUGGACUAACUGAAGAAAAAUGUAAACUGCUUGAAAAAUUUAGCCUUAUUCAAAAAGAAUAUGAAGGCUAUGAAGUAGAGUCAUCUUUAGAGGAUGCCAGCUUUGAGAAGGCGGCAGCAGAAGUACGAAGUUUGGAGGCAGCCUGUGAAAGGCUGAACAGGUCCAAUUCUGAACUUGAGGAUGAAAUCCUCUGUCUAGAGAAAGAGUUCAAAGAAGAGAAAUCUAAACAUUCUCAACAAGAUGAAUUGAUGGCAGAU
Molecule: RNA transcript, 1033 nt
Organism: Mandrillus leucophaeus (drill)
Lineage: Eukaryota; Metazoa; Chordata; Mammalia; Primates; Cercopithecidae
Gene name: cTAGE family member 4-like
Exons: 1
Source: RefSeq, a predicted model, not a curated record